AUGGCGUCAAGAGGUGCAACCACUCCAGGGAAGCCGUCCAGCUUUGAGCCCUCAGUCUGGGGUGACUUCUUCAUCAACUAUGAGCCACAACCACUGCAGAGUUGUGAGGAAUGGAUGAGAGUGAGGGUCAUAAAGUUGAAGGAGGAGGUAUGCAUGCUCUUUAAGGGUUGCAACCGGGCGGUGCGGAAAAUGAUGUUAGUGGAUGUACUCCAACAUCUUGGACUAGAUCACCACUUUGAAGAACAGAUCAACACAGCAUUAAGCGAAAUCCUCGAGAGUGAAUUUAGCAGCUACAAUCUCCACGAUGUUGCUCUUAGGUUUCGCCUGCUUAGGGAGCAUGGAUGUUGGAUAUCUCCAGAUGUUUUUGACAAAUUCAAGGAUGAAAAUGGAAGCCUUAGAGAGGAUAUUACUAAAGAACCAAGAGGACUAUUAAGUUUAUACAACGCGGCUCAUCUUCUGGUACAUGGUGAGACAUCAUUGGAAGAAGCUAUCGCUUUUGCAAGGCAUCAUCUUAAAUCAAUGAGGGGUAGUCUCAAGUCCCCGUUAGCGAAGCAAGUCAAACGUGCUCUGCACCUUCCACUGCCAAGGACAUACAGGAGGGUAGAAACAGUGCAUUUUAUCUCCGAAUACAAAGAAGAUGAAGGGCAUAACCCAAUUCUACUAGAGCUUGCUAAGCUUGAUUUCAACCUUCACCAACAUCUCCACUUGAAGGAACUCAAGUCUAUGACAAAGUGGUGGAAGGAACUUUCUGAAUUCAUCGGGCUUAGUUAUGUUCGAGAUCGUGUGGUGGAGAACUACCUUUGGUCCUUUGUGGUGCACUACGAGGAGCAUUUUGGGCUUGCACGAGUUAUCUCUGCCAAAAUUAAUGUACUACUUACCAUCAUGGAUGACACACAUGAUGACCAUGCGACCAUAGAGGAAUGCCAAAUGCUACAUGAAGCCGCACAAAGAUGGGAUGGGAGUGCUAUUUCUCUUCUACCAGAGUACCUGAAAAGGUUCUAUAAAGAAUUGUUGGGGAACAUUAAGGAGAUUGGCGAUGAAAUGGCAACCAGUGGCAACUACAAAAUCGCCUACAUCAAGAAGCAGUUCCAAAAUCAAUUCAGUUACUAUCUUCAAGAAGCCCAAUGGACACACAAGUGUCACAAACCAAGCUUUGACGAGCAGGUGAAUCUGGGUGUCAUGACCAUAUGUGUUCCAACAGUAUCUGUGUGUGGCAUGGCUGCCAUGGGCGAUGCAAUGCCAAAGGAGGCGCUGGACUGGGUAGUUGGUCUCCCUGAUGCCAUCAUAGCAAGUGGGAAGAUUGCCCGCUUCAUGAAUGACAUUGCUGCCUUUAAUCGUGUAAAGAGCAAGGGGGGCGCGGCGAGCUCCGUGGAGUGUUACAUGGCAGAGCAUGGGGUCACAAGGGAGGUUGCCAUUGCAAAGAUCGGGUCACUAAUUGAAGAUGGUUGGAAAAGUCUGAACCAAGCACGUUUUGGAGAUCGAGCGUUGCUCCCAGCGGUGCAGAGGGUUAUCAACCUUGCUCUAAGCUUCCCUCUAUAUUAUGGCGGGGGAAACGAUGCAUUCACAUUCAGCACACGUCUUCGUGAAACUAUUGAGAUCCUCUUUGUGAAUCCAAUUCCUAUGUAA
This 1626-nucleotide ribosomal RNA is filed under the name Triticum aestivum (bread wheat). RNAcentral describes it as "partial small subunit ribosomal RNA". Lineage: Eukaryota; Viridiplantae; Streptophyta; Magnoliopsida; Poales; Poaceae. The record is from RNAcentral.